CUGACCUCAAGUGAUCCUCCCACAUCGGCCUCCCAAAACGCUGGGAUUACAGGCAUGAGCCACUGUGACUGGCCAGUCUACCACAUUUUAAAGCAAGCUGUCGGGGCUCUCACUUGAUUUAAAGCUGGGCAGGAAGAACUUCUGAUUCCUCCAUGCUAAAAUAAGAGGUGUGAAUUAAGUCAACUUCCAACUUUCUACAAAUCCUCCAGAGGACUGCCUGUAUCAAAGGUUAUCUUGGACACAGGAAAAGACGGGCCUUACAAGGACAAAGCACUAUAAGGUGACUUUUAUUACUUAACGCGCUGGCUGGAAAAGAGACGAACUGCAUCAUGGGUGAGUGAUACUUCUUAGUCUACCUCUCAUUCAAAAAAGGAACAUGGGCCAGGGGUAGAGGUCUUUUUAUCUUUCCAUUAAGAAAAUACAGAGGAGUAUCACCUUUCAUUUACCAUGGCUGGUUUUGCUAUAGAAAUUGGAAAAUAAGGGCCACUUUCUUGGAUCCCUCCAGUUUAAUUAAACCAAAAUUUGGCCUACUGGCAUAUAUAUUUCAGAAGGUGAGUUUGAGGUUAGCUUGUCCUUUGCAGUUUAGUUCUAAUAGAACUAGCCACAGAAUAUAAGAUUAGCAGUGAGAGUAAAAUUACUCUAGACCAGUGUUUCUCAACCCUCUUCCAUACUGGGAGCUUAAAAAACUGAACCUGGGGUUCUCUGCUCCUGAAAUUUGAUUUUAACUGGACUGGAGUAUAGGCCAAGCCAUUAGGAUUUUAAAAGCUUCCCAGGCAAUUCUAUGUAGCCCAGGUUGAGAAGCACUUGCUCCAGCCCUGGGGUGGCGCUGAGAUUCUGCAUUUCUAACCAGCUUCUAGGUGAAGUCCAUGCUGCUGUUCCAGAGCACACCUUGAGCAGCAAGAAUGUGACUUUAGAGAUGCACUCAGGAUCAAGCCAAACUUAAAAGUAUGGGUGAAAAUAUGAAUUUUAAGGAUAUUCCAGUCCUAAUAAACGAUUUUCUGGCCACUAAACUAGGGAUCUGUAGCAGCCAUAGAAUGAAGAGAGAAUAAGUCCAAAAAACCCCAAAGUAAAUUCAUUUGCUUAAAAAAAAAAAAAAAA
Lemur catta (Ring-tailed lemur) is the source of this 1098-nucleotide long non-coding RNA. RefSeq lists it as uncharacterized. The transcript is spliced from 2 exons. The record is from RefSeq and is a predicted model, not a curated record. NCBI's taxonomy places the organism in Eukaryota, Metazoa, Chordata, Mammalia, Primates, Lemuridae.